GAUGAACGCUGGCGGCGUGCCUAAUACAUGCAAGUCGAACGGGGUACUCGGACGGAUCUUCGGAAAAGACCGAGUUACCUAGUGGCGAACGGGUGAGUAUCGCGUUGGUGACCUGCCCCAAAGAGAGGGACAACAGUUCGAAAGGACUGCUAAUACCUCAUGUGUCUUUUCAUGGUUAGAGGUGAAAAGGUAAAGGAGCAAUCCGCUUUGGGAGGGGCCUGCGUCCCAUCAGCUAGUUGGUAAGGUAACGGCUUACCAAGGCAAAGACGGGUAGGGGACCUGAGAGGGUGGCCCCCCACAAUGGAACUGAAACACGGUCCAUACACCUACGGGUGGCAGCAGUAGGGAAUAUUGCACCAUGGGCGAAAGCCUGAUGCAGCAACGCCGCGUGAGCGAUGAAGGCCCUCGGGUCGUAAAGCUCUUUUCAAGGGGAAGAGGAAGGACGGUACCCUUGGAAUAAGUCUCGGCUAACUACGUG
RNAcentral lists this ribosomal RNA (478 nucleotides) under uncultured organism. Its description in RNAcentral is "bacterial SSU rRNA". It matches the Rfam family "Bacterial small subunit ribosomal RNA", at positions 28 to 507 of the family's 1533-position model. The record is from RNAcentral.